CUACGUAGGGGGCGAGCGUUGUCCGGAAUGAUUGGGCGUAAAGGGCGCGUAGGCGGCCCGGUAAGUCUGGAGUGAAAGUCCUGUUUUUAAGGUGGGAAUUGCUUUGGAUACUGCCGCGCUUGAGUGCAGGAGAGGUUAUCGGAAUUCCCGGUGUAGCGGUGAAAUGCGUAGAUAUGCCACAGAACGCCGAUAGCGGAGGCAGCUCGCCAGGCCUGCAUUGACGCUCGGGCACGAAAGCGUGGGGAUCGAACAGGAUUAGAUACCCUGGUAGUCCACGCCGUAAACGAUGGGCGCUCGUCGUCGGCGGCAGACAGUCGGCGGCCAAGCGAAAGCGAUAAGCGCCCCACCUGGGGAGUACGGUCGCAAGGCUGAAACUCAAAUGAAUUGACGGGG
This 393-nucleotide ribosomal RNA is filed under the name uncultured bacterium. RNAcentral's name for it is "partial 16S ribosomal RNA". It matches the Rfam family "Bacterial small subunit ribosomal RNA", at positions 523 to 918 of the family's 1533-position model. The record is from RNAcentral.